GACGAACGCUGGCGGCGUGCUUAACACAUGCAAGUCGAACGGAAAGGCCCUGCUUUUGUGGGGUGCUCGAGUGGCGAACGGGUGAGUAACACGUGAGUAACCUGCCCUUGACUUUGGGAUAACUUCAGGAAACUGGGGCUAAUACCGGAUAGGAGCUCCUGCUGCAUGGUGGGGGUUGGAAAGUUUCGGCGGUUGGGGAUGGACUCGCGGCUUAUCAGCUUGUUGGUGGGGUAGUGGCUUACCAAGGCUUUGACGGGUAGCCGGCCUGAGAGGGUGACCGGCCACAUGGGGCCGGAGAUACGGCCCAGACUCCUACGGGGGGCAGCAGGGGGGAAUAUUGCACAAGGGGCGAAGGCCGGAUGCAGCAACGCCGCGUGCGGGAUGACGGCCUUCGGGUUGUAAACCGCUUUCGCCUGUGACGAAGCGUGAGUGACGGUAAUGGGUAAAGAAGCACCGGCUAACUACGU
Molecule: ribosomal RNA, 467 nt
Filed under: uncultured bacterium
Lineage: Bacteria
Description: partial 16S ribosomal RNA
Rfam family: Bacterial small subunit ribosomal RNA
Source: RNAcentral